This 577-nucleotide ribosomal RNA is filed under the name Trichoderma harzianum. RNAcentral describes it as "eukaryotic LSU rRNA". The stretch from base 203 to 356 matches the Rfam family "5.8S ribosomal RNA". The record is from RNAcentral. Lineage: Eukaryota; Fungi; Ascomycota; Sordariomycetes; Hypocreales; Hypocreaceae.
CCGAGUUUACAACUCCCAAACCCAAUGUGAACGUUACCAAACUGUUGCCUCGGCGGGAUCUCUGCCCCGGGUGCGUCGCAGCCCCGGACCAAGGCGCCCGCCGGAGGACCAACCAAAACUCUUAUUGUAUACCCCCUCGCGGGUUUUUUUUAUAAUCUGAGCCUUCUCGGCGCCUCUCGUAGGCGUUUCGAAAAUGAAUCAAAACUUUCAACAACGGAUCUCUUGGUUCUGGCAUCGAUGAAGAACGCAGCGAAAUGCGAUAAGUAAUGUGAAUUGCAGAAUUCAGUGAAUCAUCGAAUCUUUGAACGCACAUUGCGCCCGCCAGUAUUCUGGCGGGCAUGCCUGUCCGAGCGUCAUUUCAACCCUCGAACCCCUCCGGGGGGUCGGCGUUGGGGAUCGGCCCUGCCUUGGCGGUGGCCGUCUCCGAAAUACAGUGGCGGUCUCGCCGCAGCCUCUCCUGCGCAGUAGUUUGCACACUCGCAUCGGGAGCGCGGCGCGUCCACAGCCGUUAAACACCCAACUUCUGAAAUGUUGACCUCGGAUCAGGUAGGAAUACCCGCUGAACUUAAGCAUAUAA